GAAUAUUGCGCAAUGGACGAAAGUCUGACGCAGCGACGCCGCGUGUGGGAGGAAGCUCUUCGGGGUGUAAACCACUGUCAGGAGGGAAGAAACUCGCAGGACCGAACAGGCCCGGCGAUUGACGGUACCUCCAAAGGAAGCGCCGGCUAACUCCGUCCCAGCAGCCGCGGUAAGACGGAGGGCGCAAGCGUUGUUCGGAAUUACUGGGCGUAAAGAGCGGGCAGGCGGUCUGUUAAGUCGUUUGUGAAAAUCCGGGGCUCAACCCCGGAAAUGCGUACGAUACUGGCAGGCUGGAGACUGGUAGAGGCUAGCGGAAUUCCUGGUGUAGCGGUGGAAUGCGUAGAUAUCAGGAAGAACACCUGUGGCGAAGGCGGCUAGCUGGGCCAGUUCUGACGCUCAUCCGCGAAAGCGUGGGGAGCAAACAGG
This 426-nucleotide ribosomal RNA is filed under the name uncultured bacterium. RNAcentral's name for it is "bacterial SSU rRNA". It matches the Rfam family "Bacterial small subunit ribosomal RNA", at positions 359 to 776 of the family's 1533-position model. The record is from RNAcentral.